Molecule: non-coding RNA, 81 nt
Organism: Potamilus streckersoni
Lineage: Eukaryota; Metazoa; Mollusca; Bivalvia; Unionida; Unionidae
Source: the annotation of a GenBank genome assembly
GCUCCGUUGGCUUAGUGGUUAGAGGGUCUGCCUCAAAUGCGGGAGGUCGUGAGUUCUAAUUUUAUAAUUUUUAACGUAGCU